RNAcentral lists this ribosomal RNA (497 nucleotides) under uncultured bacterium. RNAcentral describes it as "partial 16S ribosomal RNA". It matches the Rfam family "Bacterial small subunit ribosomal RNA", at positions 28 to 507 of the family's 1533-position model. The record is from RNAcentral.
GAUGAACGCUGGCGGCGUGCCUAAUACAUGCAAGUCGAGCGAACGGACGAGAAGCUUGCUUCUCUGAUGUUAGCGGCGGACGGGUGAGUAACACGUGGAUAACCUACCUAUAAGACUGGGAUAACUUCGGGAAACCGUAGCUAAUACCGGAUAAUAUUUUGAACCGCAUGGUUCAAAAGUGAAAGACGGUCUUGCUGUAACUUAUAGAUGGAUCCGCGCUGCAUUAGCUAGUUGGUAAGGUAACGGCUUAUCAAGGCAACGAUGCAUAGCCGACCUGAGAGGGUGGUCGCCCACAUGGGAACUGAAACACGGUCCAGACUACUACGGGAGGCAGCAGUAGGGAAUCGUACGCAAUAGGCGAAAGCCUGACGGAGCAACGCCGCGUGAGUGGUGAAGGUCUUCGGAUCGUAAAACUCUGUUAUUAGGGAAGAACAUAUGUGUAAGUAACUGUGCACAUCGUGACGGUACCUAAUCAGAAAGCCACGGCUAACUACGUG